CCUACGGGUGGCAGCAGUGGGGAAUAUUGCACAAUGGGCGCAAGCCUGAUGCAGCCAUGCCGCGUGUGUGAAGAAGGCCUUCGGGUUGUAAAGCACUUUCAGCGGGGAGGAAGGCGUUAAGGUUAAUAACCUUGUCGAUUGACGUUACCCGCAGAAGAAGCACCGGCUAACUCCGUGCCAGCAGCCGCGGUAAUACGGAGGGUGCAAGCGUUAAUCGGAAUUACUGGGCGUAAAGCGCACGCAGGCGGUCUGUCAAGUCGGAUGUGAAAUCCCCGGGCUCAACCUGGGAACUGCAUUCGAAACUGGCAGGCUAGAGUCUUGUAGAGGGGGGUAGAAUUCCAGGUGUAGCGGUGAAAUGCGUAGAGAUCUGGAGGAAUACCGGUGGCGAAGGCGGCCCCCUGGACAAAGACUGACGCUCAAGUGCGAAAGCGUGGGGAGCAAACAGGAUUAGAUACCCGUGUAGUC
Molecule: ribosomal RNA, 465 nt
Filed under: uncultured Klebsiella sp.
Lineage: Bacteria; Pseudomonadati; Pseudomonadota; Gammaproteobacteria; Enterobacterales; Enterobacteriaceae
Description: bacterial SSU rRNA
Rfam family: Bacterial small subunit ribosomal RNA
Source: RNAcentral